CCUUGCACAGUAACCUCACUUGGAGUUGGAAGAAUCAGGAUAAAUAUAUCCUGACCACAUAUACUGCAUUCUCCCUCUGGAGAGGCAAUAGGUCAGUAAAAAGCAGGAAGCGCAGGACAGCUCAAGGGAGCUUCCUAGGAAAUGAAAGGACAAGGAAAUGUUUCCUGACAGUUUAAAAAGGAUUAAGGUGCUGACUUCAGAAAGUCCUUACUUGAUGAAAGCAAACUAGAGUGCUUCCUGCCAGAAGUGAAAAACUGAGAUACACUUACAGAAAUGUAAAUAUAAGCGACAAAGAAUUGCAGGAAAAGAAGUGCAAAGCACUGACGAAUAUGACUCAUUUAACUGACUAUUGCACGAACUCUGCCUCUCACUGGUCAUGGGAUUUACUCCAGCUGAUACAGACCCGUGACAGGAACAUCUGCAACUUUGGGUAUAGUGCCAGAGUAGCUGAUGGACACAGAUCUCCUUGGCAAGCCAUUAGCGUCUAUGGCCUGAGUCAUAGAUAACUAUGUAUUUAUAAAUAUAUAUUUUUAUAUAUUUAUAUAAAGAGAGAGCGUGCCACAUAUAUAUACAGCUAUAUAUAUAGUUAGAAAGCAAUCAUUCACCACUCACUGACCAAGGCACAGCACAACACGACGCCCCACCAGCACCACAAGAUCUCACCCCACCAACUGAUGCACUGCAACCCCCAAGCAGCAGCCAGGCCCCAGCCAACUCCCCACAGCUUUAUGGCCUUCUGCGUGGUGUCACGUGGUGCAGAAUGUCCCCCAGCCUAGUUCAGGCACUGCCCUGUCCUGCAGCAGCAACCAAACAUCAGCGUGAUCUUAAUGCUGUUUGGGCUGAAACCAGGACAAGAUGACAGCAUUACUCUGAGCAUAACUGUUUAGCUCCAGCUCUUCUUCAGCUACUCUAAGGAAACUGUACUUACAUUUAAAAUCUGAGGUGUUUUGGAUGUACUCUUAAAAACAGAAAACCUGACAUUUGACUCGGAAAUGUACUAGGCAAGAAAAAAAAGGAGGGAAAAGAACCAGUAGCUCCUGUGGCAGUCUUGUAUCCUCUUAACAUUUUCUUGUAACUAUACUGUUUUAUAGAUGAAACUGUCAUUGCAAAAAUGACAAAUCUAACACAUAAAAGAACAAAAAUGGGCAAUAAAUCACAAGCGACACUCCAGCCCACUGGAAUGCACUCAGUCAUUGCAGCAGAAAGUAGGAAGAUUUCCACUUGCUUUAUGUUCUGCUCAUCAGUGUGGGAAGAUCAGGAUCCCAGAACAACUGGUAAAAGAAAUGCUGGGGCUACAGUAUAGCAACAAGCUUGGAGUUUCACUUUUGAGAGUCAGAUCAUUCUCACUUAGCCUUCCCUAUCAUGCUAGAAUAGCCCCAUAUUUCACAGCAAAGAGGCUUUGGCUUUACACCAUACAGGUGUUUGCUCUCCCUUUGAUAACCAUGCACAGCUCCCACUGAUGCCAAUUAUGUUCAGAAGUAUCAAUAAAACAAUAAUAUCUUAAAACUGUGCAUUCAACCAGAAGAAAUGUCUACAUAUACCUUUGUUAUUACAAACAACACUGCAGUGUCAACUAGGAAUUCAUGGGGUCUCCAUUACUCAAAGCAGCACUUCAAGUUUCUACACAUCAGAAUACAUCUAAGCCAAUGCUACAAGGUAAAGGACCAAGAAAAAUGAACAUGGAUGUCUGUCCAGUCCAUGCAGCUACACCAUAAACUACAUCAGUUCUGUCGAACAAACUAGAUAAACAGAAAGAGUCUCUCAAAUUCACGCUUUUCUUUCUGUGCUAAUAAACAAACUGGAGUAAUAAAUCUUGAGUAAAUCCCUUGACAUCAAGAAAAAUCCAAUAUUUGAGCUGAAGUUUUUCACUUUUACACUGGAAUGGCUGAUAACAGAAUCUGACCCAGAUGGUGAUAAAUGAAUGUUACGUAUCAAAUUCACAUCUGAAGAAAUCUGUAUAUUUUAUUAUGCAGCUAACUUUAUAAUGGAGGAGAAACCCACUGGAACUACUUUUACGAUUCCUUUUUAGCAUGGUUUUAAAAUAUGCUGCUUAAGGUAUGCAGGGUAAAAUUCAUAGGAGCUUUAAGAUAGUCACUAUCAUUAAAAAAAUACUUUUAAUUCUUAAGUACCAGUCAUUCUACAAAAUUUCUGACAUAUCUUAUUCUGAUUUGUACCAAAAACUUUAUCUAUGAAAGCUGUACAAUACAGAACUCCCACUUCCAGCUGCAUGUGUAAUUAACAAUGGGUAGUAAAAAGGGCGUUCUAUGGAAAUCAGUCUUAAUAACAUCUAGCAAAGUGGUGGCUGCUCCACUAAAUCACAAAUGGAAAUACUUUAAUUUAAAUAUAAGUAGCUCAGACAUAUUUCAACAAUUAAGAAAAUGCCUGAAAGAAUGAACAUCCUAAUCACAAUUCCAAGCAUGGUAUUUUAUCAGAAUGCAGACAGAAUAAAAUAGACGAGGGCCAAGUGAAUACCAAAAAUGGCCAAUUUAAGCCUAUUACAUGAAAUGUCUCUUAGAAAAUAGUGAAGCAAAAUGCAGAUGCUUUCAGGCUUUCAUGGAAACAUGAAUUUGUUAUUCAAAAAUAAAAGUCAAUAUCAUAGUCACUUCUAAGUGGUAACUUCUUGAAAAAUCCUAUAAACGCUUUGAAAUUGUACUGUAAAAGUGUAUUAACUGUAUUUGUUUGUGCAAACAUGGAGACUGCAUCAUGAGGACUAUUAUGCUUCAUGUACACACAGUCUUCUCUCCUGGCCAAGAGAUAAUAAAAACUUUCCCGUGCUACAAGCUCCAAAUGAGUACUAAAGCAAGGAUUGGCUGUAGAGAUAUUUAGGGCAAACAGCAGGUAACCCUAUGGCUGGCUAUAUGAAAAUGAGGGAGAAAGGAAAGACAAAGAGGAACUAAUGCAUUGUUUAUAAACUUAUUCAUCAGUAAGCGCCAGGAUGUGUCGAUGAUGGAGACAGUGUGUGAGAGUUGGCUUGAAAGCCAAGCUGUAUUAUCACGGUUUUCUGAAGAAGAAGACCUUUCAAAAAAAGUAACAAUGUUCAGGAAUGCAGCCAAGAUUUUAAAUUUCCAUUAUGCAAGAAGCAGCAACUUCCCACCAGAGAGAAAAAAAGAAAAUCCCAACCCUGCCCUCCUGACCACAAAUUACACAGCUCCUCAAAUGUGAAAAAAUAAACAUAAUUUCUUGAUCACAAAUGUGAUUACUCUGGUGUUCAACAGAGAAGCAAGAAAAGACAUUAAGUAGAAAAUGCUCUGCAAUUUUAUUUAACAGCUACACCUAUAAGCCUUGUGGUAGCUACAGCUGGCAACAGCCCUAUGACUUUCACAUAAAGAAGCCUUUUUACAGGCAGAUCCUUUCCACAGCCUGGGAGUCUGCAGGUGAGAAGGGGAGGGAGAAUUAGCACCAUUCCCUGUUCUCUCAUGCCUACCCCAGCUCCCGUGCAUCUCCUUUAAGAAAGUCUUUGGGUUCCUCAUGGGCACUGCAGGUACCACAAUUGCCUUACUACCCUGAGGGCUCCUCCACAGUCUGCCUCUAGAAAAGCACGAGUUCCUCUUACUAUCAUGGGAACAACCACGUGGGCAGGGUGAAAGGAUUUACACUGCCUGUUGUGGCAACUGAGAAGGAAGAUGAAGGCUCUUCCCUUUUCAUCACAUGGUCUUUAUAGAAUGAGAAGGGCUUGUAAAAAUCAGGGGAACUAUUUCAGAGACUUUUUAAUACAUUUCACAGACAGCCAUGAAUGCUGUUACGUAUCAUUUGAUACUUUGUCCAUAUACAACUAGUUUCUGACUGUAAUGUUAUAAUGUGAUGGAAGGCACAGCGAUAGUAUGGGGUGACGCCAUCCUAAAUUGCAGCAAAUGAGAAUAAGCCCAAAUGCAGCAGCUAUAGACACAUAAACAAAGGAAGAAAAAAUCUGCUUAUCUUUGGAAGGCCUCAGGUACGCAGGGAUCUCCAGAGAGAUCCCCUUGCCUCCCCUGCCAACCUUCAAUGAGGUCUGGGAAGGGAUGGAUCCUGGCUCCAUCCCUUCCAGUCACUCAGGUGCAAUGCAUGCACCUGAGCUCCCCUGGGCUGGCCCUGCCUUCCCACCAGGUGCUCAACCACUGGUUCAGGCCAUGUCUUAGUAUUUCUGCUACACUGGCAUAAUAGAUUUAUUUAUUUAAGAAAAAAAAAUAAAAAACUCACAGAUCUGACAGACAAUCAGAAUGCCAAAGCAAUGCACCACCAGCAACAAAGUAAGCAAUACUUUGCUAUAUGUUAGCUAUGAUACGUGUUUGUUAGCUAUAUCUCUGUUCUCUCAUUGUUAACUACUGUAGAUAUUUCCCUCUUGCAGAACAGAUCUGUCCUCAGGAGGUCCCUGUAGCUACUCAGAUCUGCAUUAAAACAAAUUAAAAAAAGGAAAAAGAAAGAGAUGAAAAACAUUUACUUCUCCAUCUGGUAAAAUAUAUAAGCUUAUUUGAAUCCUGAGAUGAAGAAAUAAAAAUUGCUGAAGUUCAAGAGAUGCUGUUAGUCUAUUCAAAGCUUUAUUUGUACUCGCAAGUAAAUCACUGAGCUAUAAAAAUGUAUGUGGACAGAGCUUCCAACAGAGCACUAACAAGAACAAGCUAGUACUUCCUAGCAUCAUACAUCCAUUAUUCUGGUUAGUUCUUAUGUUAUUCCAUAAUACAAAUUUACAUGCAACAAUUUCGUCCUGAUUGACACAGCAACUUGGGCAUUAGGUAUUUUAGCUUUGUCAUAUAAAACACCUAUCACAACAUUAAAAUCUGUUCUAGACACGCCACUAAUCCUCUUUUCUUGAGGUGAAUCAUUUGCCUGUCACUUGUUGAAUACAGGAGAAUCCAGAUGCUAAGGAUCUGAACUCCCCUUGACCCUCAGGCACCCCAGUAGCAAUAUUCACACACUAGCCAAGAUUGCCAGUGUUCUUGAGAAAGACAAUGAUUUUAUCACCUGUUAAAAAUGAUGAUGGACUACGUCUAACUUCCCCUCUUGCAUUUUCCAAACUCAUCUUAAGUUUUAGGUAUUUUUUUUAGUGCAUUUUCCUUCUGUUCGAAAAUAAAAGGGUUUGCAAAUGCCAUAAAACACGUUUCUUUCCCAACAAAAUAAAUAAUUUCCUCGAGUUUGUAAAGAUUUCAGUACAUUCUGAACUGGCCUUCAAGCCCCACUCAGCCCAGUAAUUGUCUCACUUCUACACUGAGUUUAUUUGACAAUUAAAUUUAGAAACCUUACAGCUCUGUUCAUUUUCAUGUCUCACACCCUAGGUUAUUUUAAGACUUGAAUUCAUGUAUGACAUAACGAGGGAAUUGGUUUUACUUCUUCUUAAAUUUUAUGCAUUUUGAAAUGUUGCCAGAAAAUGUGACCUUCCCAACACACCGCAGUAAAAAAAACAAAAACAACCAACAUUAAUGCAAGGUCUUUGUUCUAAUUCAUACAUGCAAUUUGCGAACCUUAAAUAAAUGACUUAAAUAUACUAGCGUGUUUAUCUAAUAACAGAAAAAAAAAAAGCAAGUACACAGGUAGAUAUCUAUAUUUAAACUAUGCUUGAAUUUACAAAUGGAGUGAGGCUAGAUCUCUUCACAUUAGGCUUGAAAGAACA
Long non-coding RNA from Numida meleagris (helmeted guineafowl), 5584 nucleotides. RefSeq lists it as uncharacterized. The transcript has 3 exons. The record is from RefSeq and is a predicted model, not a curated record. NCBI's taxonomy places the organism in Eukaryota, Metazoa, Chordata, Aves, Galliformes, Numididae.